This 449-nucleotide ribosomal RNA is filed under the name uncultured bacterium. RNAcentral describes it as "partial 16S ribosomal RNA". It matches the Rfam family "Bacterial small subunit ribosomal RNA", at positions 29 to 523 of the family's 1533-position model. The record is from RNAcentral.
AACGAACGCUGGCGGCAUGCCUAACACAUGCAAGUCGAACGAGAUCUUCGGGUCUAGUGGCGCACGGGUGCGUAACGCGUGGGAAUCUGCCCUUUGGUUCGGAAUAACAGUUGGAAACGACUGCUAAUACCGGAUGAUGACGAAAGUCCAAAGAUUUAUCGCCAGAGGAUGAGCCCGCGUAGGAUUAGCUAGUUGGUGUGGUAAAGGCGCACCAAGGCGACGAUCCUUAGCUGGUCUGAGAGGAUGAUCAGCCACACUGGGACUGAGACACGGCCCAGACUCCUACGGGAGGCAGCAGUGGGGAAUAUUGGACAAUGGGCGAAAGCUUGAUCCAGCAAUGCCGCGUGAGUGAUGAAGGCCUUAGGGUUGUAAAGCUCUUUUACCCGGGAUGAUAAUGACAGUACCGGGAGAAUAAGCUCCGGCUAACUCCGUGCCAGCAGCCGCCGUAA